GUUCCCCUGAGAUGUUCGUUUUUGGGUUAUAUCCCAGAGCUGAUACCUUUUAUUUAGGGUUACACCAUCUGUACUAUUGAGCAAGCUCGGCAUGCACCGAGAAGCCUACGGUAGAGUGUUGUUACCCGCCUUGAGCUUUACAGUUCAAGGGUUGUACCCGAGGCGACAUUUUGGGGGACGC
This 181-nucleotide non-coding RNA is filed under the name Catenovulum agarivorans DS-2. Its description in RNAcentral is "6S / SsrS RNA". It matches the Rfam family "6S / SsrS RNA". From Rfam's summary of the family: E. coli 6S RNA was the first non coding RNA to be sequenced, but its function was unknown until recently. It consists of 184 nucleotides that fold into an extended hairpin structure with a large single-stranded internal bulge. Lineage: Bacteria; Pseudomonadati; Pseudomonadota; Gammaproteobacteria; Alteromonadales; Alteromonadaceae. The record is from Rfam by way of RNAcentral.